Molecule: ribosomal RNA, 479 nt
Filed under: uncultured bacterium
Lineage: Bacteria
Description: partial 16S ribosomal RNA
Rfam family: Bacterial small subunit ribosomal RNA
Source: RNAcentral
GAUGAACGCUGGCGGCGUGCUUAACACAUGCAAGUCGAACGAAGCACCUUGAUUCGAUUCUUCGGAUGAAGAUCUUGGUGACUGAGUGGCGGACGGGUGAGUAACGCGUGGGUAACCUGCCUCAUACAGGGGGAUAACAGUUAGAAAUGACUGCUAAUACCGCAUAAGACCACAGCACCGCAUGGUGCAGGGGUAAAAACUCCGGUGGUAUGAGAUGGACCCGCGUCUGAUUAGGUAGUUGGUGGGGUAACGGCCUACCAAGCCGACGAUCAGUAGCCGACCUGAGAGGGUGACCGGCCACAGUGGGACUGAGACACGGCCCAAACUCCUACGGGAGGCAGCAGUGGGGAAUAUUGCACAAUGGGGGAAACCCUGAUGCAGCGACGCCGCGUGAGCGAUGAAGUAUUUCGGUAUGUAGAGCUCUAUCAGCAGGGAAGAAAAUGACGGUACCUGACUAAGAAGCACCGGCUAAAUACGUG